GACGAACGCUGGCGGCGUGCUUAACACAUGCAAGUCGAACGAUGAAGCUGGAGCUUGCUCCGGUGGAUUAGUGGCGAACGGGUGAGUAACACGUGAGCAAUCUGCCCUUGACUCUGGGAUAACUGCGGGAAACUGUAGCUAAUACCGGAUAUGAGGCUUGGAGGCAUCUCCAGGUCUGGAAAGAAUUUCGGUCAAGGAUGAGCUCGCGGCCUAUCAGCUAGUUGGUGAGGUAAUGGCUCACCAAGGCGACGACGGGUAGCCGGCCUGAGAGGGGGGCCGGCCACACUGGGACUGAGACACGGCCCAGACUCCUACGGGAGGCAGCAGUGGGGAAUAUUGCACAAUGGGCGAAAGCCUGAUGCAGCAGCGCCGCGUGAGGGAUGAAGGCCUUCGGGUUGUAAACCUCUUUUAGCAGGGAAGGAGCGAAAGUGACGGUACCUGCAGAAAAAGCACCGGCUAACUACGUGCCAGCAGCCGCCGUAA
This 483-nucleotide ribosomal RNA is filed under the name uncultured bacterium. RNAcentral describes it as "partial 16S ribosomal RNA". It matches the Rfam family "Bacterial small subunit ribosomal RNA", at positions 28 to 523 of the family's 1533-position model. The record is from RNAcentral.